RNAcentral lists this ribosomal RNA (253 nucleotides) under uncultured bacterium. Its description in RNAcentral is "partial 16S ribosomal RNA". It matches the Rfam family "Bacterial small subunit ribosomal RNA", at positions 524 to 776 of the family's 1533-position model. The record is from RNAcentral.
UACGGAGGGGACUAGCGUUGUUCGGAAUUACUGGGCGUAAAGCGCACGUAGGCGGAUUUGUAAGUCAGGGGUGAAAUCCCGGGGCUCAACCUCGGAACUGCCUUUGAUACUGCAAAUCUCGAGUCCGGAAGAGGUGAGUGGAAUUCCUAGUGUAGAGGUGAAAUUCGUCGAUAUUAGGAAGAACACCAGUGGCGAAGGCGGCUCACUGGUCCGGUACUGACGCUGAGGUGCGAAAGCGUGGGGAGCAAACAGG